UACGUAGGUCCCGAGCGUUGUCCGGAUUUAUUAGGCGUAAAGCGAGCGCAGGUGGUUUAUUAAGUCUGGUGUAAAAGGCAGUGGCUCAACCAUUGUAUGCAUUGGAAACUGUUCAACUUGAGUGCAGAAGGGGAGAGUGGAAUUCCAUGUGUAGCGGUGGAAUGCGUAGAUAUAUGGAGGAACACCGGUGGCGAAAGCGGCUCUCUGGUCUGUAACUGACGCUGAGGCUCGAAAGCGUGGGUAGCGAACAGG
Molecule: ribosomal RNA, 252 nt
Filed under: uncultured bacterium
Lineage: Bacteria
Description: partial 16S ribosomal RNA
Rfam family: Bacterial small subunit ribosomal RNA
Source: RNAcentral